Molecule: long non-coding RNA, 548 nt
Filed under: Callithrix jacchus (white-tufted-ear marmoset)
Lineage: Eukaryota; Metazoa; Chordata; Mammalia; Primates; Cebidae
Description: lncRNA (ENSCJAG00000073205.1)
Source: RNAcentral
CCUACUUCUCAUCUGCAUAUUCCAUUUUCAUUCUUUGAAUCCAAGAGCUCUUUAAAAGCCAAAGAAAGGGAAACACGAAGUUGGUCAAGUCACAAAUUAGGAAAGUUCUAUUUAGGAGCCUUGGGUAAAAUUACAUACACCUGCAUGAGACCUGAUACUGGAAACUGGAUGAGAAAGCCUGGGGAGGAAGCACUCUGGUUAUGAAGGCCAUCAGGGAGUAUGGAAGCCGAGGAAAAGGGAGAAACAUGAAGCUGGGACCUAUCAUGGAAGAACUAAAUAUUUUCCCCAUCACUGACCUCCUGCCACACACCUGGCCUAGGAGACAAAAAAAAUUGAAGGAGGUCAAGAAGAAGGCAGAACAAUUGCAGGCCCAGCUGCUGCUUCAUGCCAAAGGAAAUGAAUGACUUGUCUUCCGAACUAUACUGUAAGUUUCUGCCGAACAGAGGCUCUGUUACAAUUCUCUGCCAUUCUCAGUGUCUACCAUACAGCAAUGUUCUACAAAUACUUGUUGCCUUGGAUAAACUGUAAAAAGUAAGUACAGAAAAUAC